GAGAAGGAGUGAAUCAACAGAUGAACUUAGGGGAAGGGAAGGACACAGAAGAUAAAAACAGAGGCGGAGAAAACCCACGAGAGGCCCCUAAAUACAGAGAACAAACUGAGGGGUGCCGGAGGGGAGGGGGUGCGGGCCGGGCCGGAUGGGGGAUGGGCAUUCAGGAGGGCACGUGUCGGGAUGAGCGCUGGGCGUCGUACGGAAGGGAUGAAUCCCUGGGUCCUACUCCUGAAACCAGGGCCACGCUGUAUGUUGACGAACUCGAGUAUUGACAAACCAAAAACAAAAACAAGAAUGAGUGACCAGCCCAUUUCUCUUCACAGGCAGACCCCGCGCUGGAAGACAAAGCCAGAGUUGUGGCGUGCCGAGUUGCGACAAGAGACGUUUCUCAGGGCGCCUGGGGGGCCCAGUCGGUUGAGCGUGGGACUUCGGCUCAGGCGCUGUUCGAGGGCCGAUGCGUUACACGUGCCGAGUAUCCACCGACCACGAUUAUUUCCGUGCUGUUGUAUUAGCUUCCUACGGCCUAUGGCUGCCCUAACAGAGCACCUCCGGCCGAGCGGCUUAACCACGAACGUGACCCCCGCAGAGUUCUGAAGCUGUGCGUCCCCAACCCACGUAUCGGCGGGGCCCGUUUCUCUCUGGGGCGAGAACCGGUUCUCACCGCUUCCCCGGCAUCUGCUGUCCUGGUGCUCCUCGCGAUUUCUGGGCUCGGAAGGCACUUCGCGCCGGUCCCUGCCGCUGUCAUCGAAAGUCUUCCUCCCGCUGGGUGUUUCCCCUCCGUCUGACGUGCAUUCCCACGUGGUGGUGCCUGGAGGUGGGGGCCUUCGGGCAGUGGUUCAGUUCCGAGGAGGGUCCCCGGGGUGGGGUCCCCGCGAUGGGAGGCGCAUCCUUAUGAGAAGAGACACCAGAGAGACAGAGAGAGAGAGAGAGCUUGAGGGCUCCACCUCUCUGUCUCUGUGUCUCUCUCUCUGGCUUCUGAGGCCACAGGGAGAAGACUAGAGGUCUAUAAGCCAGGAAGAGGACUCACCAGAACCCGCCCAGAACUGUGACGAAUGAAUGAAAGUCUGUGGUUCCAGCCCCUCCCUCCCCCCACCGUCGCCGGUCGUCUUUUGUUACGGCCGCUGAGCUGCCCAGCUCAACAUUCUCUGUGUCUCUGCCUCUCUCGGGCCCUGCUCCACGUGGCCCCAUCUUCCCUGGACACAUCUGAAAUGUUCCGGUUCCCAACAGAGCUGCGCCCUGAGGUUCUGGGGGUGGGAAUCUGGGAGGACACUUUUCGACCCAGUCCAGCGGCCGCCCUGUUUGUUGCUCUCUCCAGCCCUAUAAUAACCUGCCGAGGUCAGAAUUAUCACGCCCAUUUCUCAGAUGAGGACGCGGAGGCUCAGGGGCUUGAGGGUCCAAGCAGCUGCCCAGUGACAAACGUGGGACUUGUAGCCAGACUCUCAGCAGCCGGGACCUGAUGGAGAAGGCAGGAUUUGGCCUUCAGGGUCCUGAACCUCACCACCCCUCUCCAGCUCUGCAACCAGCAUCAUGGGCCAUAAACGGGAACCCCAAAGAAGAAAAAGAAAACUCCAAUUGGCUCCGUAGGUUGACCACCAAAAGUUCUCUCCUGAGAGCAGAGUUUGAAGUUUUAAUAUUUUAGGCGGGCAGGCAAUGCUUCUUGUCUAGACGCAGGGAAAUGUUCAGACGCAGACUUCUGUCCAACGCUCCAGCCAGUACAGGCCGUCCCCACGCACCCCCCAGAUUAGGGGGUGUCAUUUACUUUGCGUUGGCGAACCGACAUCACAGAGGCUCUGGCCGUCGGCAGGAGGCCUUGGACCCCAGAGAUGCCGGCUGCCGUGCUGUCUUUUCCCGGACGAUUGAGCUGCUUACGAAUCAAUAAACACAAGGUUGAUCCGGACGAGGGCUUCCUC
RNAcentral lists this long non-coding RNA (1910 nucleotides) under Felis catus (domestic cat). RNAcentral describes it as "lncRNA (ENSFCAG00000047616.1)". Lineage: Eukaryota; Metazoa; Chordata; Mammalia; Carnivora; Felidae. The record is from RNAcentral.